GACAAUUCCUUACUCCAGCUUCAGAGGAGCAUCUUUGCAUGAAUCAAUACUAACUCCUCAGUCAGCUGACCUUCUAUUUUUGAGAUUAGAGCAGAAGAACUCCGUAACGGCGGAGAAGGGUUUCGCCUCGAAUCCAAACGAUUUCUCGUCUUCUCUUAAGAUAUUUCUAGUUAGGACUUGAUCGAGGGAUCAAAUGACUCCGAAACAUAAAGUAACAAGACCAGAACCCCGUUUGGACUAUAAAUAAUAAUAAUAAUCAGUAAACAGCAAGCAAAGAGAUAACUUUCAACUUUCACAAGCUGCAAAACUAAGUUGUGGCGUCGCCUAUGCAUAAUGUAAAGAGUCUGGUGAAGAAAAAGAACUCAAUCAAAUGGAAGAAAAAAAAUCAUAAAAUGAUAAAAUCAAAUUGGAAUUUACUUGUUCCGCCAAGUCCUGCAAUGGCAUUAAUGAGCUGG
RNAcentral lists this long non-coding RNA (455 nucleotides) under Olea europaea (common olive). RNAcentral's name for it is "long non-coding RNA (OEUR_LNC014801)". Lineage: Eukaryota; Viridiplantae; Streptophyta; Magnoliopsida; Lamiales; Oleaceae. The record is from RNAcentral.